GACGAACGCUGGCGGCGUGCCUAAUACAUGCAAGUCGAACGCUUCUUUCCUCCCGAGUGCUUGCACUCAAUUGGAAAGAGGAGUGGCGGACGGGUGAGUAACACGUGGGUAACCUACCCAUCAGAGGGGGAUAACACUUGGAAACAGGUGCUAAUACCGCAUAACAGUUUAUGCCGCAUGGCAUAAGAGUGAAAGGCGCUUUCGGGUGUCGCUGAUGGAUGGACCCGCGGUGCAUUAGCUAGUUGGUGAGGUAACGGCUCACCAAGGCCACGAUGCAUAGCCGACUUGAGAGGGUGAUCGGCCACACUGGGACUGAGACACGGCCCAGACUCCUACGGGAGGCAGCAGUAGGGAAUCUUCGGCAAUGGACGAAAGUCUGACCGAGCAACGCCGCGUGAGUGAAGAAGGUUUUCGGAUCGUAAAACUCUGUUGUUAGAGAAGAACAAGGACGUUAGUAACUGAACGUCCCCUGACGGUAUCUAACCAGAAAGCCACGGCUAACUACGUG
RNAcentral lists this ribosomal RNA (508 nucleotides) under uncultured bacterium. RNAcentral describes it as "partial 16S ribosomal RNA". It matches the Rfam family "Bacterial small subunit ribosomal RNA", at positions 28 to 507 of the family's 1533-position model. The record is from RNAcentral.